GUCCUUUUGAAUUUAAUUUAAGGUUUAACCUGCCCACUGAAAUUUUUUGAAGGGCCGCAGUAAUUUGACUGUGCAAAGGUAGCAUAAUCAUUAGUUUUUUAAUUGAAAGCUUGUAUGAAGGGUUGGACGAGGUAAAUUCUGUCUCUAUUUAAUUUUUUGUAGAAUUUAAUUUUUAAGUUAAAAAGCUUAAAUUUUUUUAAAAGACGAGAAGACCCUAUAGAUCUUUAUAUUAGAAAUAUUAAUUUUAAUUAAGAAUAUUUAAUUUUUUAGUAUUUAUAAUAUUUUAUUGGGGUAAUAAAAAGAUUAAAAUAAUUCUUUUUUUAUUUUAACAUUUAUUUAUGAUUAAAUGAUCCAAUUUUAUUGAUUAAAAGAUUAAGUUACCUUAGGGAUAACAGCGUAAUUUUUUUAGAGAGUUCAUAUCGAUAAAAAAGUUUGCGACCUCGAUGUUGGAUUAAAAAUUAUCUUAGGUGCAGAAGUUUAAGAUUUUGGUCUGUUCGACCAUUAAAUUUUU
Molecule: ribosomal RNA, 511 nt
Filed under: Agabus congener
Lineage: Eukaryota; Metazoa; Arthropoda; Insecta; Coleoptera; Dytiscidae
Also listed under: 1 other name
Description: partial 16S ribosomal RNA
Rfam family: Bacterial large subunit ribosomal RNA
Source: RNAcentral